GUUCCGGUGGCCUAGUGGUUAAAGUGUCCGCCUCAGAUGUGGGAGGUCAUGGGUUAGAUCCCCAGCCAAGUCA
Potamilus streckersoni is the source of this 73-nucleotide non-coding RNA. The record is from the annotation of a GenBank genome assembly. NCBI's taxonomy places the organism in Eukaryota, Metazoa, Mollusca, Bivalvia, Unionida, Unionidae.